This 497-nucleotide ribosomal RNA is filed under the name uncultured bacterium. Its description in RNAcentral is "partial 16S ribosomal RNA". It matches the Rfam family "Bacterial small subunit ribosomal RNA", at positions 29 to 523 of the family's 1533-position model. The record is from RNAcentral.
AUUGAACGCUGGCGGUAGGCCUAACACAUGCAAGUCGAACGCGAAAGUCCUUCGGGAUGAGUAGAGUGGCGGACGGGUGAGUAACGCGUAGGAAUCUAUCCUGUAGUGGGGGAUAACGUUUCGAAAGGAACGCUAAUACCGCAUACGCCCCAAGGGGGAAAGCGGGGGAUCUUCGGACCUCGUGCUAUAGGAGGAGCCUGCGUCGGAUUAGCUAGUUGGUGAGGUAAAGGCUCACCAAGGCGACGAUCCGUAGCUGGUCUGAGAGGAUGAUCAGCCACACCGGAACUGAGACACGGUCCGGACUCCUACGGGAGGCAGCAGUGGGGAAUAUUGCGCAAUGGGCGAAAGCCUGACGCAGCCAUACCGCGUGUGUGAAGAAGGCCUUCGGGUUGUAAAGCACUUUCAGUGGGGAGGAAAGGCUGGUGGCUAAUAUCCAUCGGCCGUGACGCUACCCACAGAAGAAGCCCCGGCUAACUUCGUGCCAGCCGCCGCCGUAA